Long non-coding RNA from Engraulis encrasicolus (European anchovy), 348 nucleotides. RefSeq lists it as uncharacterized. The record is from RefSeq and is a predicted model, not a curated record. Lineage: Eukaryota; Metazoa; Chordata; Actinopteri; Clupeiformes; Engraulidae. The transcript is spliced from 3 exons.
GGGCUUUGAUUUAACCCCAUCAUCUGACACUGGUGAAGAUGUGUCACAAGACGUCAGUGUUACAUCAGAUCCCACUGCCCCCAGCACAGUUGGUGAAGUUGCGUCACAAGAGGAAGAACAUCAGUCUGUGGCCGACAUGAGCAGUACCUUCAGUGAGAUGGGUUUGCAAGACCCAUUGGACACCAGCUAUGCUCCAUCCAGUAACACCCAACCAUCCAGCCAGGAGUCUUCUUCAGGAUCAAGUUCAACCAAUAGAAAUAACACGGGAUGGUCAGGGAAAAAGUGGGUUGUGAAUGAGAGCCAACUCCUUCAACUUUUCAAAUUUUGCAGCACAUGUGGCUCAGAAAU